GACGAACGCUGGCGGCGUGCUUAACACAUGCAAGUCGAACGGAAAGGCCCUGCUUUUGUGGGGUGCUCGAGUGGCGAACGGGUGAGUAACACGUGAGUAACCUGCCCUUGACUUUGGGAUAACUUCAGGAAACUGGGGCUAAUACCGGAUAGGAGCUCCUGCUGCAUGGUGGGGGUUGGAAAGUUUCGGCGGUUGGGGAUGGACUCGCGGCUUAUCAGUUUGUUGGUGGGGUAGUGGCUUACCAAGGCUUUGACGGGUAGCCGGCCUGAGAGGGUGACCGGCCACAUUGGGACUGAGAUACGGCCCAGACUCCUACGGGAGGCAGCAGUGGGGAAUAUUGCACAAUGGGCGGAAGCCUGAUGCAGCAACGCCGCGUGCGGGAUGACGGCCUUCGGGUUGUAAACCGCUUUCGCCUGUGACGAAGCGUGAGUGACGGUAAUGGGUAAAGAAGCACCGGCUAACUAUGUG
Molecule: ribosomal RNA, 468 nt
Filed under: uncultured bacterium
Lineage: Bacteria
Description: partial 16S ribosomal RNA
Rfam family: Bacterial small subunit ribosomal RNA
Source: RNAcentral